CGGCGUCGCCGCAGCGCGCACAUGACCGGCUGCGCCCCUGCCCGUCAUCUGGGCCCUAUAUAGCGGGGCGGGGGGCGGCGGACGGGGCUGCGCGGCCGGCGGGGGAGCCGCCGGGGCCGGCGGAGGAACUCGGCCGCCUGCCCGGGCCGAGGCCGCGCGGCCGGGAGCUGCUGUCCCGCCUGCACCGGCACCAACUUUUUGGAGAGGGAGCCAAGCGUGGAGCCUUUCCCAGGAGCGCGCCGCCCCGCCAGGGUCACAGCAGGGCAGCACUUCAGAACAGAGACCCGUCCAGGCCCAGGAGAGCACAGGCUCCUGAAGUUAUGGCUGUUCCUCCAAGCACAUCCUGCACCUUUGUCCGGAGCGCUCUGAAGGAGCAGCGCUGCGUCUUCAGCAUCUAAUGGCUGCAAUCAACAUUCAUUGCUGUCGGUGGGUUUUCUUUUCUGUCAACUCACUGAUCAAUGAAUGCAAACUGCGGACCAGCCAGCUCGGAGAGCGCAGCCACGCAGCUCGGGCGGCUCCCGCUGAAGCAGCGUUGUACUCGAGCCAUGUCUACGUAACCGCGUAAGGCACAUCUGCAGCUCUGCCAUCAUCUCGAGGUUCAGGACACAUCAUCCAGCUCCUUCAGGAGCACAGUGCUCUCUGCCAUCUGAAGCCCCUGCGACAAUAUCUCACAGCAGUAACUUCUGGAUAAAAUAAGUAUUUCUUCUAGAAAAGCAGACGUUGGAACAAGGCAGACACAGCUUUUUAGACGUACAGACUGUAUGAAGCAUUCCAGGCACCUGGAGCUUCACCUGCUAAUAGGAAAUGAAGCUUCCUCCUGCCUGGCUUUGGAUUGACAGGGCCGGGAAUGGGAGGGGGCAAAGCAGAAAAUCUCGUUUCCUCCUCCAUUUGCUUAUAGGAUUAUUUUAAAGCAGCCUGUUCAGACAUGCUGUGCUCAAACCCCACAAUAACCAUCUCCAUAAGCUUGCUGUUCAGUUCAAGGCAGAACUUACUAAUGACACUUAAAUUCCAGUUAGGUGAACGUUCAAAAUAAAUCCCUGUUUGCUUGUUCUUCUAAAAGGCUUAAAUGGGUUCAAUUCUAUACAGGAGCAGCUUCACGGAGUUCAACAGUUACAAGCUAAACAGACUGAACUCUUUGCAAAACUGGGGCUUUAGAAAAAGAUCUCCCCUCUCCCGCAGUCUGCCAGCCACCCAUAGCCAUCGUUUCUACCGAGCCCCUCGGAAAGCACCGCAGCUUGAUACAGGGAAUUCACUGCAGCAGCACGGAAGUGAAGAGCCGGGAGCAUCCCCACCGGAAAAACAGAGGGGCCGGCACCAUUUGCUAAUGCACCACGAGCAGAGGCCUCAGCAGCCGCUCCAGAGCUCAGAUGCUCUGGAUGCACAAAUAAGCUUAAGAAUUCCGUUUUCUACUCUGGUGUGAAAAUCCUCAAGGUUUUUUUGCUUUAAUCACGUUUGGUAAUGAGAUGGCAAGGGGAAAAAAACCUUCCUAGGGGAAAACAGGUUAGCAGACAUGUUCAGAAUGUUUGAAACUCCAUGCUUGGGAAGCUUUAGAUGUUUCUGGCACCAGCUGUUCACCCUGUACCAGACAUGAGCGGAGCAGAGCAGAACUGCCUGCCCCAGCACCAGCACUGAGCACCAGCACGGCCAGGGCCAGCAGAGCAGAGCCGCCUGCCCCAGCACCAGCACUGAGCACCAGCACGGCCAGGGCCAGCAGAGCAGAACUGCCUGCCCCAGCACCAGCGCUGAGCACCAGCACGGCCAGGGCCAGCAGAGCAGAGCCGCCUGCCCCAGCACCAGCACUGAGCACCAGCACGGCCAGGGCCAGCAGAGCAGAACUGCCUGCCCCAGCACCAGCACUGAGCACCAGCACGGCCAGGACCAGCAGAGCAGAGCCACCUGCCCCAGCACUGAGCACCAGCACAGCCAGGGCCAGCAGAGCAGAGCCGCCUGCCCCAGCACCAGCGCUGAGCACCAGCACGGCCAGGGCCAGCAGAGCAGAGCCGCCUGCCCCAGCACCAGCGCUGAGCACCAGCACGGCCAGGGCCAGCACUGCAGACCUGGGCUGGGAACCCCCCAGCUGUGGGGUCCCUGUGCCCGCACCCCGGCUGCUGCGGCUCCACCUGCCCACCAGCACUGAGGGUUGAUCAAAGACAGGGAGACAUCAAAAGAACUCAAGGAGCUCAGUUUAUUUAGUUUAUCAGAAGUUUAUAUAAAUAUCUUCAUAGGGAACAGAGGUUUGACAAGCAUUUUUCAGUUUGGUGAAAGAGAGAGAGACAAGAAAGCUGUAGCUAGACAAAUUGAGGCUAGCAAUAAUAUACAAUUAAGGGAAAAAGAGGGUCAUUCAGUUCAUGUUAGAUGGCCCUGCUUUUAGUAUUUGGCAGAUACAUUGAGAUGUGAGAAUACGAUGGAAAAUUUAGGGUUUAGUACUAUUUAAUGCAUGAGAGGCCUCAAUGCAGCAGAUCUGAGCCAUGUCAGGCUAUGAAGGUUCAACAGAAUAAUAGCCAAUAUAUCUUCAUAAACUAUACAUGUGUCUAAACAGCAAUUUAAAUGAUUCUACAUGUGCAUGUGAAAUUAUCUGUUUCCUUAUACAAGUGUGAACUGCAUGAAAGCCUAGCUAGACCUGCCCAAGAGUGCUUCAUUAAUGAGCACCAAUAGCUACACACAUGUGCAACUCGGGCCUAUUUAUCCAUUUGUUACACAUGACUGCGCUCAUUAUAAAGGGGAACCAUACUUAGAGGAGCCACAGUCUGCCAAAACUUCAACGCUCUCCAAUAAAGCACAAGUCCAUGAGCAGGACAACAGCAGCAGGAAGGAAAGCGUCCUGACUCUGGAACGCUUUCAGCAAUGCUGAACAGCUGAGCAUUUUUGUAAUUGAGUUGUCAGUAGUCCGCCACAUUUGAAUAAUCCAGAGACUUUCCAAAAAGUGACAUAAAACUGGCUUUAAAUGAGAGUGCGCAGAGCUCACCCUCUGAGCACAACUGGUUCCUAUGGAUGCCCAACUUCCACGAGUCUGACAAGGACUUGUUGCCAUCUAGUGGGUUAUAAUCGACAGAAUGCACUUGGUCCUUUGACACAGCAAAUGCCACUAGAUGGAGUAUCAAGAGCUCUGAAUCCGUAUUACUUUAGGUGUCCAGCAGCUGAGGUUUUCUAAUUCUCAAGAAGUUACAGGCCCAGAAUUACAGGGCAAUUGAAGAGAACUUCCCCAACUGCUUUCAGUUUCAUGAGACAUCCCAGACUACAGAUUUCCAAGUAUAAUAAUGUUACAAUACUCUGAUGUCAGCAUAAUCUACCAGCCCCAGGAGUGUCUCACUGUAACACAGGCAUCCCCACAGCUUUCACAGAGGUAUCCAGCAGAAAAGCUCUCACGCAACCUGCGUGCUGCUGUCAAUAGUGAUGUGCAGAACUGCUCUGUGAAGAGCUGAUCAGCGGCGGAUACGGGAAUCCUCACCUCCAGGAGUAAGCGUUAGCUCUAAAACUUCUCAGUCUCUACCGUGAAGUAUGAACUAAUGCCUUUGAAUUAUCUCAAAGAGAACAUGCACCUCAUCACAUAGCAAGAAAGGGGUACUUACUGCCCAUGGGGUUCACAGGAGGGACGGGAGAGGAGGAACUCAUCUGCUCCACAUCUGCAGCUAAUGGGAAAGUGAAAGAGACAGUUGGGAUGUGCAUGUUACCAAGAAGUCUUUACUUUUGAAAACUUUCAUGUACAUUUCAACUGAAUAUGUGUAUCUUGGGUCAUCUGAGGAAGAUGCUUUGAGAAGCAGUUUAGCAAUGUCGUUCUCUCCUCUUUCAAGGUAUUUCUAUCUCAUACAUGGUAUCUGCAGAUCUGCUGUUCUGAGCAGUCAGUCAUAUUGGUAGCCUCUAACUUGAGAUGGUUUGAGAAUAUCAAUUCAGAACAAUGUCCCGCACAAAGAAACCCUGAAUGUCAGCCUUGAACUGCAUACAGUAUUAACUUGAGCGGAGCAUGACUGGGAAUGACAGGACAGUCCCCAUCUGCGUCCAGUGCACCUGUGAAAGAUCCCCGACAGGAAGAGGCAUCCCCUCCCGAAGGUUUGCAAAACGCCGGCAGUGGAUGUGAAGCAGUAUCAGCAACGAGCGUCUUUAAACACAGACACUCCAAAAGCUUUAUUUUCUGACAGCUGAAAGAAGAAACAGAACUACCUUCCUGCCUUUGCCAAUUAAAACCCCAGAGUCAGAACAUGAUCUGAACCAGAUCCCCUCUGCAUUUUGAGAAGGAUCCAGCUUUCCAGGACCCAAAUCAGGAAAGAACCAUCUUCCAGUAACAGCGUUAGUUUCAACUUAACAUGAGGUGAAGAAAGAACACAUUCUUUGGGGCCUGGUCUCUCUCAAAAAGCCACAUUCACUCUUACCACAUCACCACAAGUGCCCAAGUCAAACAAACCAGUCUCCAUCUCCAUCAUGUUGAUGCUAGCAGAUACCACAUAAUUAUAUGUUAUGUAAUUCUCACUUUGCUUUAAGACCCAGUAAACGCAUUCUACAAGUUUACAUUCCUAACCACAGAACAGGGUCCCAGAAGCAUAAGCCCAGCCCACAGCCAGGCUUGGCCACCGCUCCCAGUGCCGCGUUUCGCAUUCUUACCGUUCCAGUUCCCGCAGCCCUGCACGCCACUGGCACUCUGGAAGUGCCAAGCUCUGCUCUAAUUAGGCAAACCACAAACAAAUGUAAACACUUCAGCAGACCGUGUUCACCGAAUGUGGAGAGCAGCCGCAGCACCACGCUCAGACCCACUCCAUCCUCCUGCCGCGCCGAGCAAGCGCGCCACCUGAUGCUCUCGGUGCUGCUGCACAACACUCGCAGCUUUGGUUUAACAUGCUGAGUACCGGUGACAACACAAUGACAGUUUCAUCCGGACAUGCCAUGGGUUAUUCCUGUCCUCUAUUGAAUUAUCAAGACAUUUCCUGCCUGGAACAUCUAAACAUUCAUUUACAAUCUCACUUGGCUCUUCUUUGCAGUUCUGCACCAAACGUUCCGAAGGCUGCGUGUGCCGUGCAGGCUGCGGCAUUCCCGACGUCCUCGAGAACCUCCCGCGGACCGCUGAUCUGCUUACAGGAAAAGCUGGAUUUUGUCUUCCCAUUUUCCACCUUAUUGCUGUAAUCUCCCUAAUGUGGGAAGAUCCUUCAUACGCAUCACAGCAAUUGCAAAAACCUGGAAAGGGUUUAUUUUUUUUCCUAUGUAAAGCUGCACGUGUUUUCACAUAUAGUCAAAAUAACCUGAGAAGUGCAGACUGAAGUUACUUUUGCCGUGGGAGCGGUGAGCCGGAGCCCGUGUGCGAGCCGGGAGCGCGGCUCGGCUGCCGGCGCCAGAUGGCGGCUCAGAGGUACCUGCUGCCGGGCAGAUGGCCGGAGCGCCCGGGCACAGGAACCCUGCGUGAGCAACGGCUACACCUGCAGACAUCUGCAAUAGCCAAAUAACAAACGUGCUGUCUAAAGUGACGCUUCUGAGCGGGAAGCAUUUAGAGAGCCACUGGAAAUUUAAGUCCCAUAGUUUUAAUCAUUCACCGUAAUGCCACCUUAAAGGCUAUAGACAGCAAAAGGCUAACAGCAUUUCCUAGCUAUACUUGGAAAGGAUAACUUCAGUUAAUGCUCAAAAUUAUAGAUUUUAAUUGCUAUUUCUUACACGUUCGCCAAGACUAUCACGCUGCGGACACAGCUGCCUGGCUGCUCGAGUGCCAAGUUUACAGUUGCCUCAGUGUCCCAUCCAGUGCUGCUGUGAACCAGCGAUGGGGGGACGCAGUGGGGACACCUCUGCAUCCAUCCGUGUGCUCCUGGCAGAUGGGUGUUUGUACUCGAUUAAUACCAAAAUCAUACUUCAACUUAUUUUUUACCAAGUAUAUAAAAGCACAAGUACUUAUCCUACAACUUGCCUUGAAUGGGUGGAAUUCUACGUUUCUCUCAUCCAUGUAAAUGAAUAUUAAAAAUUUCAAGCAGCUCUUUAUUAAACACAGCAA
Molecule: long non-coding RNA, 5965 nt
Organism: Columba livia (rock pigeon)
Lineage: Eukaryota; Metazoa; Chordata; Aves; Columbiformes; Columbidae
Exons: 2
Source: RefSeq, a predicted model, not a curated record